GGUGGCUCAGCGGUACAGUGCAUGCCUUGCAAGCAUGAGGCCCUGGGUUCGAUUCCUCAGCACCG
Molecule: non-coding RNA, 65 nt
Organism: Dipodomys ordii (Ord's kangaroo rat)
Lineage: Eukaryota; Metazoa; Chordata; Mammalia; Rodentia; Heteromyidae
Source: Rfam